GUCGCCAGGUUGGGAAAAGAAAGCAGUGGGGCAUUGAUCAGUUUCUAUUCUACGAUCUCUAAUAUUCUUCUCGGGAUUGGUGCUAAAAGACCUCUUUUCUCCCUAUAAAAUACCCCUUCCCCCUCUUCUAAAACCUACAUCUCCUUCCCCCCUUUCCUAGCCUCCUCUCCGUUUUACAUUUUAUAUAGAUGAUUACAUCUACCAUCUACAAAACCCUAUUAGGGUUAGAUCAGUCCCUUUAAACCAUCGAGCCAUAUAUAUUGGCAUCUUACAAAAAUGGUUUUCUUUGUGUUCUUCCACGGCUUUCUUGAACUGCAUCAUCAUCUCAUCUAUUUCUCAGAUUUAGAUGCUGCAGUUCAAUAAAGCUGUGGGAAGGUACAACGAUAAUCAAUAACAAGCCCAGAUUAUAAUCUUUUAAAUCUGUUAAUUGCUUAGUUUCAUGUCCAAUCACUGAUUAUCUUUCUUGUUUGUUUUUAAAAUUUGCAGAUCUGUAAUAUUAAUUGCAUGCCAGUUGGCCUUAGAUUUGAAGUGUGUAUGCAUGUAAGUAUGCACGGAUAUACAAAGUACACACAGUUUGUGGGAUCACAGUUAUGUCACAAUUUACUUGAUUUGGUGAUAUGUAGCUCCAGCCAUCAGUGUCUGAAUUCAGAGACACAUAGUACAGUAUUAAAUUCUUCUAUGAUGUCAAUUAAAUUAUUUUACAGUAA
This is a long non-coding RNA of Daucus carota subsp. sativus, 707 nucleotides long. RefSeq lists it as uncharacterized. The transcript is spliced from 2 exons. NCBI's taxonomy places the organism in Eukaryota, Viridiplantae, Streptophyta, Magnoliopsida, Apiales, Apiaceae. The record is from RefSeq and is a predicted model, not a curated record.